UGGAAGUAGGACACAGGAAAACCCCGUUGUCGAGAACAUUGCUGGUCCGAUAAUCAGCAGGUGCACUGUAACAGGACGCCCAGGAGAUUCGUGCGCAUGAUCAGGUCUGAGAAGCAGUGUUCGGAUUCAGGGGUCCUCAAAGUUGAAUGUUCAGCAGAAUCAGAAGAACGAAGGGUGACCUGUUGGACUGCAGAUCGCAGGGAGCACCCCCAGACUUUCUGAUCGAGGAGUGAUGCUAACUUCAUGGUGAGAAUGUGAAGACCUUUUGAAACGCCAAGCACCUGACCCAAGCCCGGUCACAGAAUACGCUCUUCAAAUUGGGGUCUGCAGACCAGCAGCACCAGCGUCCCCUGGGAGCUUGGAAGACCUGCGGUGUCUGCCCCCACCCCAGACCUGUGGCAGCAGACUCUGCAGCGUCACAAGAGCCUCAGCUGAGGAAGCUAAGCCCUCACAACCAAGGUGUGUGACUGGUGGAGCCAGCGGAAACCCAGGUCACUUGAUUCCGAAGCGCGACCUUUACCCACAACCGUGCAGCCCAAGGUCCUGCAGUCCUGUCCUUUGGUACUUAAACAUCCCAUCAGGUGUACCAGUGCAGGUGGGU
Leptonychotes weddellii (Weddell seal) is the source of this 601-nucleotide non-coding RNA. NCBI's taxonomy places the organism in Eukaryota, Metazoa, Chordata, Mammalia, Carnivora, Phocidae. The record is from RefSeq and is a predicted model, not a curated record.